Molecule: non-coding RNA, 45 nt
Organism: Schistosoma mattheei
Lineage: Eukaryota; Metazoa; Platyhelminthes; Trematoda; Strigeidida; Schistosomatidae
Source: Rfam
GUUCAUCUGAGGAAUCCAAAAUAGAAUGGAACACGCGUCUUGAAC